AACGGCGAGUGAAGCGGCAACAGCUCAAAUUUGAAAUCUGGCCUCUUUGGGGUCCGAGUUGUAAUUUGUAGAGGAUGUUUCGGGUACCGCCUCGGUUUAAAUUUCUUGGAACAGAAUGUCAAAGAGGGUGAGAAUCCCGUCUUGGACCGGCGGUAGGGCCCAUGUGAAACUCCUUCGACGAGUCGAGUUGUUUGGGA
RNAcentral lists this ribosomal RNA (197 nucleotides) under Exophiala pisciphila. RNAcentral describes it as "partial large subunit ribosomal RNA". It matches the Rfam family "Eukaryotic large subunit ribosomal RNA", at positions 85 to 279 of the family's 3401-position model. The record is from RNAcentral. Lineage: Eukaryota; Fungi; Ascomycota; Eurotiomycetes; Chaetothyriales; Herpotrichiellaceae.